RNAcentral lists this ribosomal RNA (497 nucleotides) under uncultured bacterium. RNAcentral's name for it is "partial 16S ribosomal RNA". It matches the Rfam family "Bacterial small subunit ribosomal RNA", at positions 28 to 507 of the family's 1533-position model. The record is from RNAcentral.
GAUGAACGCUGGCGGCGUGCCUAAUACAUGCAAGUCGAGCGAACGGACGAGAAGCUUGCUUCUCUGAUGUUAGCGGCGGACGGGUGAGUAACACGUGGAUAACCUACCUAUAAGACUGGGAUAACUUCGGGAAACCGGAGCUAAUACCGGAUGAUAUUUUGAACCGCAUGGUUCAAAAGUGAAAGACGGUCUUGCUGUCACUUAUAGAUGGAUCCGCGCUGCAUUAGCUAGUUGGUAAGGUAACGGCUUACCAAGGCAACGAUGCAUAGCCGACCUGAGAGGGUGAUCGGCCACACUGGAACUGAGACACGGUCCAGACUCCUACGGGAGGCAGCAGUAGGGAAUCUUCCGCAAUGGGCGAAAGCCUGACGGAGCAACGCCGCGUGAGUGAUGAAGGUCUUCGGAUCGUAAAACUCUGUUAUUAGGGAAGAACAUAAGUGUAAGUAACUGUGCACAUCUUGACGGUACCUAAUCAGAAAGCCACGGCUAACUACGUG